GUAGUCAUAUGCUUGUCUCAAAGAUUAAGCCAUGCAUGUCUAAGUAUAAGCAAUUAUACCGCGAAACUGCGAAUGGCUCAUUAUAUAAGUUAUCGUUUAUUUGAUAGUACCUUACUACUUGGAUAACCGUGGUAAUUCUAGAGCUAAUACAUGCUAAAAAUCCCGACUUCGGAAGGGAUGUAUUUAUUAGAUUAAAAGCCAAUGCCCCUCGGGGCUCACUGGUGAUUCAUAAUAACUUGUCGAAUCGCAUGGCCUUGCGCCGGCGAUGGUUCAUUCAAAUUUCUGCCCUAUCAACUUUCGACGGCUGGGUCUUGGCCAGCCAUGGUGACAACGGGUAACGGAGGGUUAGGGCUCGACCCCGGAGAACGAGCCUGAGAAACGGCUAUUACAUCCAAGGAAGGCAGCAGGCGCGCAAAUUACCCAAUACCGACUCGGUGAGGUAGUGACGAUAAAUACUGAUACAGGGCUCUUUUGGGUCUUGUAAUUGGAAUGAGUACAAUUUAAAUCCCUUAACGAGGAACAAUUGGGGGGCAAGUCUGGUGCCAGCAGCC
Molecule: ribosomal RNA, 551 nt
Filed under: uncultured eukaryote
Lineage: Eukaryota
Description: SSU rRNA
Rfam family: Eukaryotic small subunit ribosomal RNA
Source: RNAcentral